Molecule: ribosomal RNA, 468 nt
Filed under: uncultured bacterium
Lineage: Bacteria
Description: bacterial SSU rRNA
Rfam family: Bacterial small subunit ribosomal RNA
Source: RNAcentral
CGCUGGCGGCGUGCUUAACACAUGCAAGUCGAGCGGAAAGGCCCUUUCGGGGGUACUCGAGCGGCGAACGGGUGAGUAACACGUGAGUAAUCUGCCCUUGGCUUUGGGAUAACUACCGGAAACGGUGGCUAAUACCGGAUACGACCACUCCUUGCAUGAGGUGGUGGUGGAAAGUUUUUUCGGCCAGGGAUGUGCUCGCGGCCUAUCAGCUUGUUGAUGGGGUAAUGGCCUACCAAGGCUUCGACGGGUAGCCGGCCUGAGAGGGUGACCGGCCACACUGGGACUGAGACACGGCCCAGACUCCUACGGGAGGCAGCAGUGGGGAAUAUUGGACAAUGGGCGGAAGCCUGAUCCAGCAACGCCGCGUGAGGGAUGACGGCCUUCGGGUUGUAAACCUCUUUCAGUACCGACGAAGCGCCGAUGAUGGUGGUGACGGUAGGUACAGAAGAAGCACCGGCCAACUACGUG